AGUUUGAUCAAUGCUUUUACAGACGAAAGACAAUGGAGAAGGUCAUGCUCUUUUGUGUUUUUUCGUACAGGAUUAUUCAGAUCAGCUCCAGUGAUGUUUCAGAACAUGACGUGACUCUGUUAAGAUUCCGGCUGAAUGAAGGCAUCUCUCUGAACUGCAGCUUGAACGGAAAAUUAAGAAUGGCCUGGUAUCACCAGAAUCCUGAUUCUGGACGACUAACACUACUGCUGUCUACCAUCUAUCAAACCUAUCGAAGCCAUCAAAGCCAUCAAAGCCAUCGCAUAUUUGCAAUAACAGGGACCAGCACAGCCUCGCUAGUUAUUAUUAAUCUAACAGAGUCAGAUUCAGGUCUUUAUUUCUGUGGAACAAGACAUACAUUUCAUUCAGAAAUGCACUUCGACAAACCCAUCAGACUAGUGAUGGAGGACGGAGAGGACAAAGUUCAUUCUGUCACAGAUCCGCCAGAGGAUGCUGAGCUCACAGCCUCUACAGUCGAGGUGAUGCUGUCGGAGCGUGUGCUGAUGUUCGGUGGUGUUGGUCUGGCUGUGCUUGUGUUUUUUCUGGCUACAGUCGUUGCAGGAGGAAUCAUUCACUGUUACGGUUGGCAGAAAGGAUGGGCCGCAGCCAAACGUGCUGGUCUGACUGAUUAAAAAAAUAACCUUAAUGACCUUUCUUUUUCACUCUAUCACAGUAAUCAGCAUCGCUGUAUGUUACCACUUAUAGUGGUUCACCAAUGUGGUUCAGAUCUCACUUAGACUUCUCUAGGUCUAAAAGGAGCUCUAGAGGAGCAUUAAAUUGCCCCGUUUAUGCUAUUUAAAAGGUUCAAAACUUGGUUUUGAGAGUUCUCAACAAUAGGUUUAUAUGCAUGCGAGAAACAUGCAAUUUCAUUGACUUUUGUGUGCGCAGUAAAACUAAGAAAUCACACGUGUUUGUGCAUUUUCUGACAGAAAACCUGAUCAUUAGCAAUGCUAAACCUCUUCAGACACAACUGUAUGUGUUCAAUGUCAGAUCUGUUCUCACGGUUUCAGAAAAAU
This 1034-nucleotide long non-coding RNA is filed under the name Sinocyclocheilus grahami. Its description in RNAcentral is "lncRNA (ENSSGRG00000000261.1)". Lineage: Eukaryota; Metazoa; Chordata; Actinopteri; Cypriniformes; Cyprinidae. The record is from RNAcentral.